GACGAACGCUGGCGGCGUGCCUAAUACAUGCAAGUCGAGCGAAUGACGAGAAGCUUGCUUCUCUGAUUUAGCGGCGGACGGGUGAGUAACACGUGGGCAACCUGCCCUGUAGACUGGGAUAACUUCGGGAAACCGGAGCUAAUACCGGAUAAUCCAUUUCACCUCAUGGUGAAAUGUUAAAAGGCGCAUCUCGCGUCACUACAGGAUGGGCCCGCGGUGCAUUAGCUAGUUGGUGGGGUAACGGCCUACCAAGGCAACGAUGCAUAGCCGACCUGAGAGGGUGAUCGGCCACAUUGGGACUGAGACACGGCCCAAACUCCUACGGGAGGCAGCAGUAGGGAAUCUUCCACAAUGGACGAAAGUCUGAUGGAGCAACGCCGCGUGAGUGAUGAAGGUUUUCGGAUCGUAAAACUCUGUUGUAAGGGAAGAACAAGUACGUUAGGAAAUGAACGUACCUUGACGGUACCUUAUUAGAAAGCCACGGCUAACUACGUGCCAGCAGCCGCGGUAAUACGUAGGUGGCAAGCGUUGUCCGGAUUUAUUGGGCGUAAAGCGCGCGCAGGCGGUUUCUUAAGUCUGAUGUGAAAGCCCACGGCUUAACCGUGGAGGGUCAUUGGAAACCGGGAGACUUGAGUGCAGAAGAGGAAAGUGGAAUUCCAAGUGUAGCGGUG
Molecule: ribosomal RNA, 671 nt
Filed under: uncultured Rummeliibacillus sp.
Lineage: Bacteria; Bacillati; Bacillota; Bacilli; Caryophanales; Caryophanaceae
Description: bacterial SSU rRNA
Rfam family: Bacterial small subunit ribosomal RNA
Source: RNAcentral